RNAcentral lists this ribosomal RNA (914 nucleotides) under uncultured archaeon. RNAcentral describes it as "bacterial SSU rRNA". It matches the Rfam family "Archaeal small subunit ribosomal RNA", at positions 1 to 922 of the family's 1478-position model. The record is from RNAcentral.
UUUCCCGGUGAUCCUGCCGGACUGACUGCUAUCGGAUUGAUACUAAGCCAUGCGAGUCAUUGUAGUAAUACAAGGCAGACGGCUCAGUAACGCGUAGUCAACCUACCCUAUGGACGGGGAUAACCUCGGGAAACUGAGAAUAAUACCCGAUAGAACAUUAUACCUGGAAUGGUUUAUGUUUCAAAUAAUUUAUUGCCGUAGGAUGGGACUGCGGCCUAUCAGUUUGUUGGUGAGGUAAUGGCCCACCAAGACUAUUACAGGUACGGGCUCUGAGAGGAGAAGCCCGGAGAUGGGUACUGAGACACGGACCCAGGCCCUAUGGGGCGCAGCAGGCGAGAAAACUUUGCAAUGUGCGAAAGCACGACAAGGUUAAUCCGAGUGGUUCCUGCUAAAGGAAUCUUUUGUUAGUCAUAAUACCACUGAUGAAUAAGGGGUGGGCAAGUUCUGGUGUCAGCCGCCGCGGUAAAACCAGCACCUCAAGUGGUCAGGAGGAUUAUUGGGCCUAAAGCAUCCGUAGCCGGCUUUGUUAGUUUUCGGUUAAAUCCAUAUGCUCAACGUAUGGGCUGCCGGGAAUACUACACAGCUAGGGAGUGGGAGAGGUAGACGGUACUCCGUAGGAAGGGGUAAAAUCCUUUGAUCUAUGGAUGACCACCUGUGGCGAAGGCGGUCUACCAGAACACGUCCGACGGUGAGGGAUGAAAGCUGGGGGAGCAAACCGGAUUAGAUACCCGGGUAGUCCCAGCUGUAAACAAUGCAAACUCAGUGAUGCAUUGGCUUGUGGCCAGUGCAGUGCCGCAGGGAAGCCGUUAAGUUUGCCGCCUGGGAAGUACGUACGCAAGUAUGAAACUUAAAGGAAUUGGCGGGGGAGCACCACAAGGGGUGAAGCCUGCGGUUCAAUUGGAUUCAACGCCGGG